This 332-nucleotide ribosomal RNA is filed under the name uncultured bacterium. RNAcentral's name for it is "bacterial SSU rRNA". It matches the Rfam family "Bacterial small subunit ribosomal RNA", at positions 568 to 898 of the family's 1533-position model. The record is from RNAcentral.
CGCGUAGGCGGGAUGGCAAGUCGGUCGUGAAAUCCUUCGGCUCAACCGAAGAACGUCGGCCGAUACUGCCGUUCUUGAGGGAUGCAGAGGAGACUGGAAUUCCCGGUGUAGCGGUGAAAUGUGUAGAGACCGGGAGGAACACCGGUGGCGAAGGCGGGUCUCUGGGCAUCUCCUGACGCUGAGGCGCGAAAGCGUGGGGAGCAAACGGGAUUAGAUACCCCGGUAGUCCACGCCAUAAACGAUGACGACUAGGUGUGGGGUGGUUCAGUCCACUCCGUGCCGCAGCUAACGCAUUAAGUCGUCCGCCUGGGGAGUACGGCCGCAAGGUUGAA